This 124-nucleotide small RNA is filed under the name Marmota monax (woodchuck). Lineage: Eukaryota; Metazoa; Chordata; Mammalia; Rodentia; Sciuridae. The record is from RNAcentral.
GCUGGGUGCGCUGGUGCACACCUGUAAUUCCGGUGGCUCGGGAGGCAGAGGCAGGAGGAUCAUGAGUUCAAAGCCAACCUCAACAAAAGUGAGGCUCUAAGCAACUCAGUGAGCCCUGUCUCUA